ACCUGAUAAAAGUUGUAUUUUGAAAAUUUGCUUUGAAACAGAAUGGAAGAUAGAUGGCAGAAAAAUGUUUUAGGCAUGAUAAUUAGUCAGGAACUGAUAACAAUAGCGUAGACAGAAGACUAAACAAUGAUAACAUUAGUGAGGAGAAAAGGAAGUAGGGAGUAGGGACGAAAGAGAGUGACUGUGAAAAGAAAAAUGGUAGGACUAUAAAACCUGUUGAAUAUGAUGAACAAUGACAGGAGGAGAAGAUAAAAGAACUUCAGAUGUUUUUGCUUGAUUCAUUACAGACUGAGUACCUUGGUUAGAUGACUCAAAUUUAGUCAUUAGUAGCCUGGACAUAUUACUGGAAAAUUGGAAGAAUCACGACUAAAUAUAUGUGAUGCCUUUUUGGAACUGCACAGGAUUCUAUAAGGAUAACUUCAACUGCAGAGUAACAUUAGAAGAAAUAUUUCAGAAGGCUUCAGAUUGAAAAAUUUAAAGAUUGUGUCUCCUAUAGUUUGUGCUGCAUCACUCAUUCAUUAUGAAGGCAAAGUCGAUGCGGUACACACAGAUCAAAGAAUUCAGAGCUGGAAGUAAAACUGGGUCAUCUAAUGAGCACUCUUCAUCAUUUGGUAAUGAAGAUACAAAAAGAAGAGGAAAGAUAAAUGAUUUGCCAAUGACCAGAUAUCCAACUAGUGGCAAAACAACUAUGAAAAUUCAAAAUUUCUGAUAGCAAAUUAUCUUUUUAUCAAUUCUAUAAAUUAUAUAAUAGAAAAUUUUUGUAAUUUGAGGACUUCCCAUUCAUGCCCUGAAAACAUGUCAAGGAUGCCAUUCUCUCUGUCACAUAGUAUGAUAGAGCUUUGACACUAUGGUCUUAUACUCCUGAUCAUA
This is a long non-coding RNA of Lepus europaeus (European hare), 870 nucleotides long. RefSeq lists it as uncharacterized. The record is from RefSeq and is a predicted model, not a curated record. NCBI's taxonomy places the organism in Eukaryota, Metazoa, Chordata, Mammalia, Lagomorpha, Leporidae. The transcript is spliced from 4 exons.